RNAcentral lists this ribosomal RNA (738 nucleotides) under Pedobacter sp. RNAcentral's name for it is "bacterial SSU rRNA". It matches the Rfam family "Bacterial small subunit ribosomal RNA", at positions 11 to 765 of the family's 1533-position model. The record is from RNAcentral. Lineage: Bacteria; Pseudomonadati; Bacteroidota; Sphingobacteriia; Sphingobacteriales; Sphingobacteriaceae.
GCUGAGUGAUGGCUCAGGAUGAACGCUAGCGGCAGGCCUAAUACAUGCAAGUGAACGAGAUUAUCCAGCUUGCUGGAUAUGAAAGUGGCGCACGGGUGCGUAACGCGUAUGCAACUACCUUAAUCAGGGAUAGCCCGAAGAAAUUCGGAUUAACACCGCAUAAACACAGGAUAGCAUUAUCCAAUGUUCAAAUAUUUAUAGGAUUAAGAUGGGCAUGCGUGUCAUUAGCUAGUUGGCGGGGUAACGGCCCACCAAGGCGACGAUGACUAGGGGAUCUGAGAGGAUGACCCACACUGGUACUGAGACACGGACCAGACUCCUACGGGAGGCAGCAGUAAGGAAUAUUGGUCAAUGGAGGGAACUCUGAACCAGCCAUGCCGCGUGCAGGAAGACGGCCCUCUGGGUUGUAAACUGCUUAUUCGGAAUAACCUAUUUAGUGUAAAUAGCUGAAUGUACCGAAGGAAUAAGGAUCGGCUAACUCCGUGCCAGCAGCCGCGGUAAUACGGAGGAUCCAAGUUAUCCGGAUUUAUUGGGUUUAAAGGGUGCGUAGGCGGCUUAUUAAGUCAGGGUGAAAGACGGUGGCUCAACCAUCGCAGUGCCCUUGAUACUGAUGAGCUUGAAUGGACUAGAGGUAGGCGGAAUGUGACAAGUAGCGGUGAAUGCAUAGAUAUGUCACAGAACACCGAUUGCGAAGGCAGCUUACUAUGGUCUAUUGACGCUGAGGCACGAAGCGGAAGG